This 460-nucleotide ribosomal RNA is filed under the name uncultured bacterium. Its description in RNAcentral is "partial 16S ribosomal RNA". It matches the Rfam family "Bacterial small subunit ribosomal RNA", at positions 338 to 795 of the family's 1533-position model. The record is from RNAcentral.
CCUACGGGCGGCAGCAGUGAGGAAUAUUGGUCAAUGGGCGCGAGCCUGAACCAGCCAAGUAGCGUGAAGGAUGACUGCCCUACGGGUUGUAAACUUCUUUUAUACAGGAAUAAAGUGCGUCACGUGUGCCUUUUUGUAUGUACUGUAUGAAUAAGGAUCGGCUAAUUCCGUGCCAGCAGCCGCGGUAAUACGGAGGGUCCGAGCGUUAUCCGGAUUUAUUGGGUUUAAAGGGAGCGUAGAUGGGUUGUUAAGUCAGUUGUGAAAGGUUGGGGCUCAACCGUAAAAUUGCAAUGGAUACUGGCAGCCUUGAGUACACUUGAGGUAGGCGGAAUUCGUGGUGUAGCGGUGAAAUGCUUAGAUAUCACGAAGAACUCCGAUUGCGAAGGCAGCUUACUAAACUGCCACUGACAUUGAUGCUCGAAAGUGUGGGUAUCAAACAGGAUUAGAUACCCCGGUAGUC